GAGGAUGUAGCUCAUAUAGUAGAGCGCUUGCUUAGCAUGCGAGUGGUACGGGGAUCAAUACCCCGCAUCUCUA
This 73-nucleotide transfer RNA is filed under the name Dichanthelium oligosanthes. It matches the Rfam family "tRNA". From Rfam's summary of the family: Transfer RNA (tRNA) molecules are approximately 80 nucleotides in length. The record is from Rfam by way of RNAcentral. Lineage: Eukaryota; Viridiplantae; Streptophyta; Magnoliopsida; Poales; Poaceae.